CCUACGGGAGGCAGCAGUGAGGAAUAUUGGUCAAUGGGCGAGAGCCUGAACCAGCCAAGUCGCGUGAAGGAUGAAGGAUCUAUGGUUUGUAAACUUCUUUUAUAUGGGAAUAAAGUGAGGAACGUGUUCCUUUUUGUAUGUACCAUAUGAAUAAGCAUCGGCUAACUCCGUGCCAGCAGCCGCGGUAAUAUGGAGGAUGCAAGCGUUAUCAGGAUUUAUUGGGUUUAAAGGGUGCGUAGGUGGUUAAUUAAGGAAGCGUUGAAAGUUUGUGGCUCAACCAUAAAAUUGCCGUUGAAACUGGUUGAUGUGAGUAUCUUUGAGGGAGGCGGAAUGCGUGGUGUAGCGGGGAAAUGCA
Molecule: ribosomal RNA, 355 nt
Filed under: uncultured bacterium
Lineage: Bacteria
Description: partial 16S ribosomal RNA
Rfam family: Bacterial small subunit ribosomal RNA
Source: RNAcentral